UACAGAGGUCUCAAGCGUUGUUCGGAUUCAUUGGGCGUAAAGGGUGCGUAGGUGGCUGGGUAAGUCGGGUGUGAAAUCCCGGGGCUCAACCCCGGAACUGCACUCGAUACUGCCCUGCUCGAGUACUGGAGAGGAGACUGGAAUUUACGGUGUAGCAGUGAAAUGCGUAGAUAUCGUAAGGAAGACCAGUGGCGAAGGCGAGUCUCUGGACAGUUACUGACACUGAGGCACGAAGGCCAGGGGAGCAAACGGG
This 253-nucleotide ribosomal RNA is filed under the name uncultured bacterium. RNAcentral describes it as "partial 16S ribosomal RNA". It matches the Rfam family "Bacterial small subunit ribosomal RNA", at positions 524 to 776 of the family's 1533-position model. The record is from RNAcentral.